Molecule: ribosomal RNA, 254 nt
Filed under: uncultured bacterium
Lineage: Bacteria
Description: partial 16S ribosomal RNA
Rfam family: Bacterial small subunit ribosomal RNA
Source: RNAcentral
UACGUAGGGUGCAAGCGUUAAUCGGAAUUACUGGGCGUAAAGCGUGCGCAGGCGGUUUUGUAAGUCUGUUGUGAAAUCCCCGGGCUCAACCUGGGAAUGGCAAUGGAGACUGCAGGGCUAGAGUUUGGCAGAGGGGGGUAGAAUUCCACGUGUAGCAGUGAAAUGCGUAGAUAUGUGGAGGAACACCGAUGGCGAAGGCAGCCCCCCUGGGUCAAAACUGACGCUCAUGCACGAAAGCGUGGGGAGCAAACAGG